CAUGUCCUCAUCACUGAGUCACCACCCAUAUCCUCAACACUGAGUCACAACCCAUGUCCUCAUCACUGAGUCACCACCCAUGUCCUCAACACUGAGCCACCACCCAUAUCCUCAACACUGAGUCACCACCCAUGUCCUCAUCACUGAGUCACUACCCAUGUCCUCAUCACUGUGUCACCACCCAUGUCCUCAACACUGAGCCACCACCCAUGUCCUCAUCACUGAGUCACAACCCAUGUCCUCAACACUGAGCCACCACCCAUGUCCUCAUCACUGAGUCACCACCCAUGUCCUCAUCACUGAGUCACCACCCAUGUCCUCAUCACUGAGUCACCACCCAUGUCCUCAUCACUGAGUCACCACCCAUGUCCUCAUCACUGAGCCACCACCCAUGUCCUCAUCACUGAGUCACUACCCAUAUCCUCAUCACUGAGUCACCACCCAUAUCCUCGUCACUGAGUCACCACCCAUAUCCUCAUCACUGAGUCACUACCCAUAUCCUCAUCACUGAGUCACCACCCAUAUCCUCAACACUGUGUCACCACCCAUAUCCUCAACACUGAGUCACAACCCAUAUCCUCAACACUGAGUCACCACCCAUGUCCUCAACACUGAGUCACCACCCAUAUCCUCAACACUGAGCCACCACCCAUGUCCUCACCACCCAUGUCCUCAUCACUGAGUCACAACCCAUGAGUCCUCAUGUCACACUGAGUCACCACCCAUGUCCUCAUCACUGAGUCACCACCCAUAUCCUCAACACUGAGCCACCACCCAUGUCCUCAUCACACUGAGUCACCACCCAUAUCCUCAUCACUGAGUCACCCCAUACCAUCAUGUCACUCCCAUCACUGAGUCACCACCCAUGUCCUCAUCACUGAGUCACCACCCAUGUCCUCAACACUGAGCCACCACCCAUGUCCUCAUCACUGAGUCACCACCCAUGUCCUCAUCACUGAGUCACCACCCAUGUCCUCAUCACUGAGUCACCACCCAUGUCCUCAUCACUGAGUCACCACCCAUAUCCUCAUCACUGAGCCACCACCCAUGUCCUCAUCACUGAGUCACCACCCAUAUCCUCAACACUGAGCCACCACCCAUGUCCUCAUCACUGAGUCACCACCCAUAUCCUCAACACUGAGUCACCACCCAUAUCCUCAACACUGAGCCACCACCCAUGUCCUCAUCACUGAGUCACAACCCAUAUCCUCAACACUGAGUCACCACCCAUAUCCUCAUCACUGAGUCACAACCCAUAUCCUCAUCACUGAGUCACCACCCAUGUCCUCAUCACUGAGUCACCACCCCAUGUCCUCAUCACUGAGUCACCACCCAUGUCCAUAUCCUCAUAUCCUCACACUGUGUCACCACCCAUAUCCUCAACACUGAGUCACCACCCAUAUCCUCAACACUGAGUCACCACCCAUGUCCUCAACACUGAGUCACCACCCAUAUCCUCAACACUGAGCCACCACCCAUGUCCUCAUCACUGAGUCACAACCCAUAUCCUCAACACUGAGUCACCACCCAUGUCCUCAUCACUGAGUCACAACCCAUAUCCUCAACACUGUGUCACCACCCAUAUCCUCAACACUGAGUCACCACCCAU
Long non-coding RNA from Oncorhynchus tshawytscha (Chinook salmon), 1609 nucleotides. The record is from Ensembl. NCBI's taxonomy places the organism in Eukaryota, Metazoa, Chordata, Actinopteri, Salmoniformes, Salmonidae.